Molecule: RNA transcript, 2898 nt
Organism: Musa acuminata AAA Group (dessert banana)
Lineage: Eukaryota; Viridiplantae; Streptophyta; Magnoliopsida; Zingiberales; Musaceae
Gene name: probable methyltransferase PMT28
Exons: 9
Source: RefSeq, a predicted model, not a curated record
CUUAUCAGAAAACUAAUAAGAAAAACGAGGACGACCUCUCACCAGCUUCGGUCCCAUGUCCACCCACCAAUGUAGCAGGCAAAAUCUCUCCUUUUCCCUCGAGAAGACGCGCGCUCCCCUUCUACCAUCACCGUAACACCGACACGAGCAUCUGCCUCUUGCUUACCGCAGUUGCAAUAAAAAUCUCUUAUUUUGUCAGGAAAACAGUUCUUCCUUCUGGUCGCAGAAGACCCAGACGUUUCUGCUCUCUCUUUCCCCCUCCGGGCACUGAAAAGACACUCACCAGCUAUUGGUUGGUAGUUGUGCCGUCAAUCCGCCAGUUUUCUCUUUUAUUUCUGUUCGAUGGGUUUCUUUGCUCAGAUCUUUGGGCUUCGGAGCUCGAUGUUAUAACUAAUUGGUGGCUGUCGGAGGUCAAUGGCGAGCGCUCGAUUGGGGCGGAGCAUAAAGCGAGCACCUUUGGGCUUCGGCACUAAGGUGUCGCUGGUGUUCUUCUUGGGUCUGGCUUUUGUUGUCACCUGGUGGACCUUCUCCUCCCCUUCCGCCUCGGCUGUCUCCUCCCAAAGGAGCAGCUUUGACGACAUCGAAGCACUACCGGCCACUCCGGCGCCGAGGAAAGGGAAGGAGCAGAGCAGGAAGAAGGCCCAUCAGAAGAAGCCUCCCGAUUCGCUGCCCAAAAAUGAAAACUCGAGGAGAACUGCAGUUGGAUCUAAAAACGAUAAAAAGGAGAAGGAGAAGAAGAAGGGAGGAGGAGGAGAGAUCGAGCAGGUGGCGGCGGCGAAGAACGAGACGAGCAAGCCAGAAGGGCAGCAAGACGAGGAGGAGAGCGAGGAGAAGGUUGAUGUGGAGGGCUUGGAGGAGGUCACCGAUAGCGAGAAUGCAACCGACGAAGACAUGGAAGAGGGUGUUGAUGCGAAUGCCGUAGACGAUGCCGGUGAAGAUAAUUUGAAGAAUAGGAGCAAGAAGAAGAAAAAGUUGGGACCUUUGUUUGAUCCAAAGGCGCGAUAUACCUGGAAGCUUUGCAGUGGAAAGACCGGGCAUAACUACAUUCCCUGUGUGGAUAUGGAAGGCGGCCACCGACACCAUGAGAGGAGUUGCCCUCGGACUCCAAUUACGUGUUUGGUGUCUCUUCCUAAAGAUUAUAAACCUCCGGAGGCAUGGCCCGAGAGGGAGUCAAAGAUAUGGUUCAAAAAUUUGGCUCACCCAAAACUAUCAGAAGCCAUCAAAACUCACAGUUGGUUGAAUCUCUCUGGCGACUAUCUUUUCAUUCCUUCGGAGGAAUCUGAGUUCAAAGGAGGUGCUCAACACUAUGUCAGUUCAAUUGAAGAGAUGGUUCCGGACAUUGAAUGGGGUAAGAACAUUCGUGUAGUACUGGACAUUGGGUGUACAGGUGCUGGUUUUGGAGCUGUUCUUCUGAAGAAGGACGUGGCGACAUUAUCGCUGGGUCUAAUGAGUGAUCAAACAGAUAUGGCCCAACUUGCCCUGGAACGGGGUAUCCCUGCAGUGGUAGGGAAUUUGAGAUCAAGAAGGCUUCCUUUUCCAAGUAGUGUUUUUGAUGUUAUCCACUGUGGUGAAUGUGGCAUACCAUGGCAUUCUAAUGGCGGUAGGCUUCUUCUUGAGAUAAACAGAGUUCUACGCCCUGGAGGAUACUUCAUCACGUCAACCAAACAUGGAGAUAUUGAUGCUGAAGAAGGCAUGACAGCAUUGUUGUCAUCAGUCUGUUGGAAUAUUCUAGCACACAAAGCUGAUGAAGUCAGUGAAACAAAUAUCAGAAUAUAUCAGAGGCCAACAUCAAAUGAUGUAUAUGAGAUAAGAGCAACAAAAGAACCUCCUUUCUGCAGGGAAAAUGAAAACCAAGAUGCUGCUUGGUACACUCCUGUAAAAGCAUGUCUUCACAAAGUUGCAGCAGCUAUCGAACAACGUGGAACUGACUGGCCUGAGGAAUGGCCUAAGAGACUUGAAACUUUUCCAGAAUGGUUAGCUGAUUCAGAGGAUAAGUUGACUAAAGAUCAUGAGCACUGGAAAGCUAUAAUUGACAAAUCUUAUCUUGCUGGGCUGGGAAUUGAUUGGUCAAAUAUUCGGAAUGUAAUGGACAUGAAAGCAAUAUACGGAGGAUUUGCUGCUGCUCUAGCAUCUCAGAAGGUCUGGGUGAUGAAUGUAGUUCUUGUUCAUGCUCCAAAUACUCUCCCCAUCAUUUUCGAGCGUGGGCUUCUUGGUAUCUAUCAUGAUUGGUGUGAACCAUUUAGCACGUAUCCAAGAUCCUAUGAUCUUUUGCAUGCCGAUCAUCUAUUCUCACGUCUAAAGAACAGGUGUAAGCAGCCUAUUGUUAUCGUGGUUGAGAUGGACCGGAUACUAAGGCCAGGUGGUUGGGUCAUCAUCCGUGAUAAGUUGGAGAUAUUGAACCCUCUAGAGACGAUUUUGAGAUCACUACACUGGGAUAUCAGAAUGACAUAUGGCAAAGACAAGGAAGGUCUGCUAUGUGCACAGAAAACAACAUGGAGACCAUAAGAUGAUAUCCUUUACCUUGUGAUUCUCAAGUCAAAGAUACUCUAUUUUGGAGGACACAAGCCUUCUGUUUCCAGAUGUUUAUUCAUUGUCUUUACAUGAGAAAGCAACACUCUUUAACAUGGCGAUGUGGAGAAACAUUUUUCCAUGAUGAAUUGGAUGUCUUAGUUCAAGAUGGAGAAUGUUUGAUACGGUACAAUCUAUAUCUAUCUAUCUAUCUAUCAAGUAUAUGUGGUGAUAAUUUUCAUUAUUAUGAAUUGGAUGUAUUGAUUCAAGUUGGAAACAUUUGAUGUGGUAAGACCUCACACUGUGCUUUGUAAUUUCUGACAAUUUGAAGAAAAUUAGUGUUUCCAUCUGCAUUCUGCAGUAUCAAAUGUUGUUUCUUGGAUUUGUUUA